AUGUAUAUCAAGAAGGUGGUAAUUCAAGGGUUUAAGAGCUACAGGGAGGAGACCUCAACUGACCCUUUCAGCCCCAAAGUUAACGUAGUUGUUGGUGCAAAUGGAUCUGGCAAAUCGAACUUUUUCCACGCUAUACGCUUUGUCCUAAGCGACAUGUUUCAGAACCUGCGCAGUGAGGAUAGGGGAGCUCUUCUCCAUGAAGGUGCUGGACACUCGGUUAUAUCUGCCUUUGUCGAGAUACUGUUUGAUAAUUCGGACAACCGUAUUCCAGUUGAUAGAGAAGAGGUACGCCUGCGGAGGACGGUUUCUUCAAAGAAGGAUGAAUACUACCUGGAUGGGAAACAUGUUAGUAAAACUGAAGUCAUGAACCUGCUGGAGAGUGCUGGCUUCUCUCGUUCUAAUCCAUACUAUAUUGUCCAGCAGGGGAAGAUUGCAUCCCUUACUCUAAUGAAGGAUUCUGAGCGACUGGAUCUUCUCAAAGAGAUUGGCGGUACGCGUGUUUAUGAAGAUAGGCGUCGGGAGAGCUUGAAAAUAUUGCAAGAGACAGCCCAUAAAAGGAAGCAGAUUGGUCAAACUGUCCACUACCUGGAGGAAAGAUUGAGAGAACUUGAUGAAGAGAAAGACGAACUAGUGAAGUACCAGGAGCUGGACAAAGAAAGAAGAUCACUUGAGUAUAAUCUGUUGGACCAUGAACUGAAUGAUACUAAAAACGAAUUAGUUUCAAUGGAUGAUGAUCGAAGAAAAUUUUCUGAAAUGUUGUCUAAUGCGGAUGAUGAAGUGGCAGAUGUACGUGAGAAGGUCAAGAGUUUUGAUAAAGAAAUAGAAGUCUGUACAGAAGGGAUAGAUGAAAUCAAGUCUCAAAAGGAAGAUGCCGAGAAGAAGCGUACUAAAGCACUAAAGCUAGUUACUCAGAUUGAACUGGAUCUGAGAGAUAUAGAAGACAGAAUUUCAAAUGAAAAACGAGCAAAGGAUGAAGCUGCGAAGGAUUUACACAGUAUGAGGAAAGAGAGUGAAAGGUCAAAUUCUGAAUUGGCCGAAAUUAGUAAUGCACACCAGGCCAAAUUGCAGGAAGAGGAGGAGAUGUCAAAAAGCAUAACGGACCGCGAGAAGCAGCUGAGCGUAUUGUACCAAAAGCAGGGGAGGGCAACUCAGUUUAAGAAUGAGGCUGCCAGAGAUAAGUGGCUUCAGAAAGAAAUUCAUGAUCUCGAGCGUGUACUUUCAUCAAAUAAAAAGCAGGAAAGCUUACUCGAAGAAGAGAUUCAGAAACUUACAGGUGAAAUUAAUAGCUUGACGAACUACAUCGAGUCUCGGAGAAGUGAAUCCGGCAAGUUAGAGUCUGCUCUUGCAAACAGACAAAAGGAUUAUAAUGACUUUAUGCAGCAGAAAGAUGCACUUCAAGAUGAAAGGAAAUCAUUGUGGAAGCAGGAAAAUAGCGUAACAGCUGAAAUCGAUAGGCUAAAGGAAGAUAUUGUGAAGGCACAGAAGAGUCUUGACUAUGCCACACCCAGGGAUACCAGGAGAGGCCUGAAUUACGCUAGCAAAAUAGUCAGGGAACGUGGUUUGAAAGGAGUUUUUGGUCCAGUAAUAGAACUAAUUGACUGCGAAGAGAAGUUUUUUACAGCUGUUGAGGUCGCUGCUGGAAAUAGCUUGUUCCAUGUGGUGGUUGCAAAUGACGACAUAUCAACGGAUAUAAUUGAUAUAUGGAGGAAAGGUAAAGAUGGACCUUCAUCAGACAAAGAGGAAGAUAGAGAUGGACGGGUGACUUUCAUACCACUGAACAGAGUGUACGCUCCGCGCGUCAAUAUUCCACAAAGUUCUGAUUUUGUUCCACUGUUGAAGAGGUUAAAGUACCGUGCCGAGCAUCGCCCCGCUUUUGAACUGAUUUUUGGUAGGACAGUUAUAUGCCGGGACCUGGAAACUGCGACCAGGGUUGCACGCAGCAAUGAUCUAGAUUGCAUCACACUUGAUGGUGAUCAAGUUUCAAGUGAUGGUGGUAUGGCAGGAGGUUUCUUUGACUAUAGGCGCUCAAGAUUGAAGUAUGUAAAAAUAAUUAGGGACAAUAAAACAACAAUCCAGGAAAAGACAGUGCAUCUGCAUAAUCUGGGAAAAGAGCUGCAAGAUAUAGAUAGAAAAAUUAUGGAUUUAGUUACCAAACAUCAACAAGUGGAUGCCGAACGUGAUCAUGCCAAGUCGGAGUUGGAACAGUUUAAGGAUGAUAUUACCAGGGCAAUGAAGCAAAAAGGAUUACUUGAGAAAGCCCUUGGAAAGAAGGAAAAAUCACUCGACAACAUCCGCAACCAAAUUGAGCAAAUCCAAUCUGGCAUUGCAACGAAAAAUAAUGAGAUGGGAACAGAACUGAUUGACCAGCUAACAUCAGAAGAAAGAGAUCUCCUUUCGCGAUUGAAUCCUGAAAUUGCUGCAUUGAAGGAGAAGUUUCUCUUGUGUAAAAACAAUCGCAUUGAGAUUGAAACAAGAAAAGAAGAACUGGAGACCAAUUUAUCAACUAAUCUGACGAGGCGUCAAGAAGAGCUGGAAGCGAUAAUUUCAUCUGCAGAUUCUGAAGCCUUGUCUCUUGAAGUCAAAUCAAAAGAGCAACAGCUGAAACAGUCGAAGAGCAAUCUUGAUGAGUUGACUACACUUCUGCAGGCUAAUAUUGAUGCAAUUAAUGACUUUAUGGGAAAGAUGGAGCAACUGAAAAAACAAAGGGAUGAUCUGAAGGUGGUUCAAGCUAAUUUGGAGCAGACUGUGCAAGAUGCAGCGAACGACUUGGAACAGUUGAUGAACAGAAGGAGAAUGCAUCUGGCCAAGCAAGCAGAGUGUAUGAAAAAGAUGCGAGAUUUGGGCUCGUUGCCCGCUGAUGCUUUUGAAAAGUACAAGGGAAAAGAUAGGCUGCUGCUGCAGAAGCUGCUUCAUGACCGCAAUGAGCAGUUGAAGCAAUUUAGUCAUGUCAACCAAAAGGCUCUUGACCAGUAUGUGAACUUCAAUGAACAACGCGAUCAACUGCGGAGAAGACGGGAUGAACUUGCCCUUGGUGACAAGAAAAUUCGAGACUUGAUAUCGCUUUUAGACCAAAAAAAGGAUGAAUCGAUCGAACGCACAUUUAAAGGAGUUGCAAGGCACUUCCGCGAAGUGUUCUCUGAAUUAGUGCAAGGUGGCCAUGGAGCCUUGGUUAUGAUGAAGAAAAAGGAUGGUGAUGCCGAGGACGAUGACAAUGAUGAGGACGGGCCACGUGAAGCAGAUCCUAAAGGGAGAAUCGACAGAUACAUUGGCGUGAAAGUCAAGGUUUCCUUCACUGGCAAGGGAGACACUCAGUCCAUGAAACAGUUGUCCAGGGGACAGAAGACAGUGGUGGCAUUGACACUGAUCUUUGCCAUCCAACGAUGUGAUCCGGCUCCGUUCUACCUCUUCGACGAGAUCGACGCCGCUCUGGAUUCUCAGUACAGAACAGCCGUCGGCAAUGUGGUGCGACGUCUGGCUGACAUGGCGGACACCCAGUUCAUCGCAACCACAUUCAGGCCAGAGAUUCUGAAAGUUGCGGAUAAGAUAUACGGUGUGGCGCACAAGAGCAGAGUGAGCUACAUCGACGUGGUAUCCAAGGAGCAAGCGCUGGACUUCAUUGAGCAGGACCAGGCGCAAAAUGCCAGCUGA
RNAcentral lists this ribosomal RNA (3648 nucleotides) under Triticum aestivum (bread wheat). Its description in RNAcentral is "partial small subunit ribosomal RNA". The record is from RNAcentral. Lineage: Eukaryota; Viridiplantae; Streptophyta; Magnoliopsida; Poales; Poaceae.